GCCCAGGUGGUGGAAUGGUAGACACGUUGGACUUAAAAUCCAAUGGCCAUUACGGCCGUGCGGGUUCAAGUCCCGCUCUGGGUAC
This 85-nucleotide transfer RNA is filed under the name Prolixibacter sp. SD074. RNAcentral's name for it is "tRNA-Leu". It matches the Rfam family "tRNA". From Rfam's summary of the family: Transfer RNA (tRNA) molecules are approximately 80 nucleotides in length. The record is from RNAcentral. Lineage: Bacteria; Pseudomonadati; Bacteroidota; Bacteroidia; Marinilabiliales; Prolixibacteraceae.